Molecule: long non-coding RNA, 533 nt
Organism: Varanus komodoensis (Komodo dragon)
Lineage: Eukaryota; Metazoa; Chordata; Lepidosauria; Squamata; Varanidae
Exons: 2
Source: RefSeq, a predicted model, not a curated record
AGAAGCAGGAGAGGGUGCGAAGGCGGCGGCAAUGCCCGAACCCUGGGUAAAAUUCAAAGAAUGAGACUGGACGCUAAGCCUGUGGAGUCAAGCGGCUGCCUCAGUUCUUAUUCAUCGUGUUUAGACUCAUGUCUUGCUCAUCCUACUUGUGCUGCAAUGGGGACCUUUCUGACGAAAGUGUGGGGGUUCGUUGAAGUAUGACUGAGUGGUUCAGGGUGGUGGAGCGGGCUCAGGGGAUCUGGGCUCUUGUUCCUGGGGCCCUGGGUGAUUUGGGCCAGGCACAGACUUGCAGCCUCGCCUACCUCAGAGGGUUGUUGUUGUGCGGAGAAAAUAGAGGAGGAGACCCUCAGGCAGCAUGAGGAGGGGAUGUUGCAGGCAUCUGGACAGAAGAAGAUCUGAGCAGGGACCAUCUAGCCCAGCAUCCUGCUCGCACCGUGUCUGCCCGGCUGCCCAUGGAUAUGCCUGAGUCGAUCUCAGCCACAUUCUGCAUUUGCCCAUGAUAAAAAACCAUUGGCUUUUGUUUCAUUGCUUAA